GACAAAUAUUGCAUGAAGCAUCAACUUCUCAGGAACUGUAUUAGCAUUGACCUCCACAUAAACCAUCAAUUAAAUCACCCUUCCUUUAGGCUUCAUCAAAUAUGUUCAUUAAUAUAAACUUGCCAGAUUCGGAACUGGAAGCAUCACCAUCAACUGUAAACUCCAAUAAUGCCAGCAUUUUUAACCUUGAAGAAAUGGUAAGUAGGUUUUAGUGAUACCAGGCCAUCCAGCUUUCCA
RNAcentral lists this unclassified non-coding RNA (237 nucleotides) under Hevea brasiliensis (rubber tree). Lineage: Eukaryota; Viridiplantae; Streptophyta; Magnoliopsida; Malpighiales; Euphorbiaceae. The record is from RNAcentral.